This 253-nucleotide ribosomal RNA is filed under the name uncultured bacterium. Its description in RNAcentral is "partial 16S ribosomal RNA". It matches the Rfam family "Bacterial small subunit ribosomal RNA", at positions 524 to 776 of the family's 1533-position model. The record is from RNAcentral.
UACAGGGGGUGCAAACGUUGCUCGGAAUCAUUGGGCGUAAAGCGCACGUAGGCGGUUCGUUAUGUCGGAUGUGAAAGCCCUUGGCUUAACCGAGGAAGUGCAUCCGAAACUGGCGAGCUAGAGUACUAAAGAGGAUCGCGGAAUUCCCGGUGUAGAGGUGAAAUUCGUAGAUAUCAUAAGGAACACCGGUGGCGAAGGCGGUUACCUGGAAGAUUCCUGACUCUGAAACACGAAAGCCAGGGGAGCAAACGGG